AGCGAACGCUGGCGGCAGGCUUAACACUGCCAGUCGAGCGGACACUUCGGUGUCAGCGGCAGACGGGUGAGUAACACGUGGGAACGUACCCUUUGGUUCGGAAUAACGCAGGGAAACUAGCGCUAAUACCGGAUACGCCCUUUUGGGGAAAGGCUUGCUGCCGAAGUAUCGGCCCGCGUUUGAUUAGCUAGUUGGUGGGGUAAUGGCCUACCAAGGCGACGAUCAGUAGCUGGUCUGAGAGGAUGAUCAGCCACACUGGGACUGAGACACGGCCCAGACUCCUACGGGAUGCAGCAGUGGGGAAUAUUGGACAAUGGGCGCAAGCCUGAUCCAGCCAUGCCGCGUGAGUGAUGAAGGCCUUAGGGUUGUAAAGCUCUUUUGACCGGGACGAUAAUGACGGUACCGGAAGAAUAAGCCCCGGCUAACUUCGUG
RNAcentral lists this ribosomal RNA (432 nucleotides) under uncultured bacterium. RNAcentral describes it as "partial 16S ribosomal RNA". It matches the Rfam family "Bacterial small subunit ribosomal RNA", at positions 29 to 507 of the family's 1533-position model. The record is from RNAcentral.